RNAcentral lists this ribosomal RNA (492 nucleotides) under uncultured bacterium. Its description in RNAcentral is "partial 16S ribosomal RNA". It matches the Rfam family "Bacterial small subunit ribosomal RNA", at positions 29 to 507 of the family's 1533-position model. The record is from RNAcentral.
AGUGAACGCUGGCGGUAGGCCUAACACAUGCAAGUCGAACGGCAGCACAGUAAGAGCUUGCUCUUACGGGUGGCGAGUGGCGGACGGGUGAGGAAUACAUCGGAAUCUACUUUUUCGUGGGGGAUAACGUAGGGAAACUUACGCUCAUACCGCAUACGCCCUACGGGUGAAAGCAGGGGAUCUUCGGACCUUGCGCGAUUGAAUGAGCCGCUGUCGGAUUAGCUAGUUGGCGGGGUAAAGGCCCACCAAGGCGACGAUCCGUAGCUGGUCUGAGAGGAUGAUCAGCCACACUGGAACGGAGACACGGUCCAGACUCCUACGGGAGGCAGCAGUGGGGAAUAUUGGACAAUGGGCGCAAGCCUGAUCCAGCCAUACCGCGUGGGUGAAGAAGGCCUUCGGGUUGUAAAGCCCUUUUGUUGGGAAAGAAAAGCAGCAGGUUAAUACCCCGCUGUUCUGACGGUACCCAAAGAAUAAGCACCGGCUAACUUCGUG